CACGGGGGGAGCAAGCGUUGUUCGGAAUCACUGGGCGUAAAGGGCGUGUAGGCGGUCAAGUAAGUGGAAUGUGAAAGCCCCCGGCUUACCCGGGGAUCUGCAUCCCAAACUGCUUGGCUUGAGUACGGGAGAGGAUGGAGGAAUUCCUGGUGUAGCGGUGAAAUGCGUAGAUAUCAGGAGGAACACCGGUGGCGAAGGCGUCCAUCUGGCCCGAUACUGACGCUGAGGCGCGAAAGCUAGGGGAGCGAACGGG
RNAcentral lists this ribosomal RNA (253 nucleotides) under uncultured bacterium. RNAcentral's name for it is "partial 16S ribosomal RNA". It matches the Rfam family "Bacterial small subunit ribosomal RNA", at positions 524 to 776 of the family's 1533-position model. The record is from RNAcentral.